GAUGAACGCUGGCGGCGUGCCUAAUACAUGCAAGUCGAGCGAACAGACGAUGAUCUUGCUCCUCUGACGUUAGCGGCGGACGGGUGAGUAACACGUGGAUAACCUACCUAUAAGACUGGUAUAACUUCGGGAAACCGGAUCUAAUCCCGUAUAAUAUAUUGAACCGCAUGGGUCAAUAGUGAAAGACGGUUUUGCUGUCACUUAUAGAUGGAUCCGCGCCGCAUUAGCUAGUUGGUAAGGUAACGGCUUACCAAGGCAACGAGGCGUAGCCGACCUGAGAGGGUGAUCGGCCACACGGGAACUGAGACACGGUCAAGACUCCUACGGGAGGCAGCAGUAGGGAAUCUUCCGCAAUGGGCGAAAGCAUGACGGAGCAACGCCGCGUGAGUGAUGACGGUCUUCGGAUCGUAAAACUCUGUUAUUAGGGAAGAACAAAUGUGUAAGUAACUAUGCACGUAUUGACGGUACCUAAUAAGAAAGCAACGGCUAACUACGUG
Molecule: ribosomal RNA, 497 nt
Filed under: uncultured bacterium
Lineage: Bacteria
Description: partial 16S ribosomal RNA
Rfam family: Bacterial small subunit ribosomal RNA
Source: RNAcentral